This 75-nucleotide transfer RNA is filed under the name Mustela putorius furo (domestic ferret). It matches the Rfam family "tRNA". From Rfam's summary of the family: Transfer RNA (tRNA) molecules are approximately 80 nucleotides in length. Their secondary structure includes four short double-helical elements and three loops (D, anti-codon, and T loops). Further hydrogen bonds mediate the characteristic L-shaped molecular structure. tRNAs have two regions of fundamental functional importance: the anti-codon, which is responsible for specific mRNA codon recognition, and the 3' end, to which the tRNAs corresponding amino acid is attached (by aminoacyl-tRNA synthetases). tRNAs cope with the degeneracy of the genetic code in two manners: having more than one tRNA (with a specific anti-codon) for a particular amino acid; and 'wobble' base-pairing, i.e. permitting non-standard base-pairing at the 3rd anti-codon position. Lineage: Eukaryota; Metazoa; Chordata; Mammalia; Carnivora; Mustelidae. The record is from Rfam by way of RNAcentral.
ACCUUGCUGGCUCAGUUGGUAGAGCAUGGGACUUCUUGAUCUCACGGGUUGUGAGUUCAAGCCCCACGUUGAGUG